AGUGAACGCUGGCGGUAGGCCUAACACAUGCAAGUCGAACGGCAGCACAGUAAGAGCUUGCUCUUACGGGUGGCGAGUGGCGGACGGGUGAGGAAUACAUCGGAAUCUACUUUUUCGUGGGGGAUAACGUAGGGAAACUUACGCUAAUACCUCAUACGACCUACGGGUGAAAGCAGGGGAUCUUCGGACCUUGCGCGAUUGAAUGAGCCGAUGUCGGAUUAGCUAGUUGGCGGGGUAAAGGCCCACCAAGGCGACGAUCCGUAGCUGGUCUGAGAGGAUGAUCAGCCACACUGGAACUGAGACACGGUCCAGACUCCUACGGGAGGCAGCAGUGGGGAAUAUUGGACAAUGGGCGCAAGCCUGAUCCAGCCAUACCGCGUGGGUGAAGAAGGCCUUCGGGUUGUAAAGCCCUUUUGUUGGGAAAGAAAAGCAGCAGGUUAAUACCCCGCUGUUCUGACGGUACCCAAAGAAUAAGCACCGGCUAACUUCGU
This 491-nucleotide ribosomal RNA is filed under the name uncultured bacterium. RNAcentral describes it as "partial 16S ribosomal RNA". It matches the Rfam family "Bacterial small subunit ribosomal RNA", at positions 29 to 506 of the family's 1533-position model. The record is from RNAcentral.